Molecule: ribosomal RNA, 497 nt
Filed under: uncultured bacterium
Lineage: Bacteria
Description: partial 16S ribosomal RNA
Rfam family: Bacterial small subunit ribosomal RNA
Source: RNAcentral
GAUGAACGCUGGCGGCGUGCUUAACACAUGCAAGUCGAACGAAGCACUUUACUUGAUCUUUUCGGAGUGAUUGUUUUGUGACUGAGUGGCGGACGGGUGAGUAACGCGUGGGUAACCUGCCUCACACAGGGGGAUAACAGUUGGAAACGGCUGCUAAUACCGCAUAAGCGCACAGUACCGCAUGGUACGGUAUGAAAAACUCCGGUGGUGUGAGAUGGACCCGCGUCUGAUUAGCUAGUUGGCAGGGCAGCGGCCUACCAAGGCGACGAUCAGUAGCCGACCUGAGAGGGUGACCGGCCACAUUGGGACUGAGACACGGCCCAAACUCCUACGGGAGGCAGCAGUGGGGAAUAUUGCACAGUGGGGGAAACCCUGAUGCAGCGACGCCGCGUGAGCGAAGAAGUAUUUCGGUAUGUAAAGCUCUAUCAGCAGGGAAGAAGAAAUGACGGUACCUGACUAAGAAGCACCGGCUAAAUACGUGCCAGCCGCCGCAGUAA